This 736-nucleotide ribosomal RNA is filed under the name uncultured bacterium. RNAcentral describes it as "bacterial SSU rRNA". It matches the Rfam family "Bacterial small subunit ribosomal RNA", at positions 766 to 1505 of the family's 1533-position model. The record is from RNAcentral.
UAGCAAACAGGANNNNNNACCCUGGUAGUCCACGCCGUAAACGAUGAUUACUAGGUGUGGGGGGACUGACCCCUUCCGUGCCGGAGUUAACACAAUAAGUAAUCCACCUGGGGAGUACGACCGCAAGGUUGAAACUCAAAGGAAUUGACGGGGGCCCGCACAAGCAGUGGAGUAUGUGGUUUAAUUCGAAGCAACGCGAAGAACCUUACCAGGUCUUGACAUCGAGUGACGAACUUAGAGAUAAGUUUUUCCUUCGGGACACGAAGACAGGUGGUGCAUGGUUGUCGUCAGCUCGUGUCGUGAGAUGUUGGGUUAAGUCCCGCAACGAGCGCAACCCUUGAACUUAGUUGCCAGCAUUUGGUUGGGCACUCUAAGGUGACUGCCGGUGACAAACCGGAGGAAGGUGGGGAUGACGUCAAAUCAUCAUGCCCCUUAUGACCUGGGCUACACACGUGCUACAAUGGGCGGUACAAAGGGCAGCGAAGUCGCGAGAUGGAGCAAAUCCCAUAAAACCGUUCUCAGUUCGGAUUGCAGGCUGCAACUCGCCUGCAUGAAGUCGGAAUCGCUAGUAAUCGCGGAUCAGCAUGCCGCGGUGAAUACGUUCCCGGGCCUUGUACACACCGCCCGUCACACCACGAGAGUUUAUAACACCCGAAGUCGGUGGGGUAACCGUAAGGAGCCAGCCGCCUAAGGUGGGAUAGAUGAUUGGGGUGAAGUCGUAACAAGGUAACCGUAA